GACGAACGCUGGCGGCGUGCUUAACACAUGCAAGUCGAGCGGAAAGGCCCUGCUUUUGUGGGGUGCUCGAGUGGCGAACGGGUGAGUAACACGUGAGUAACCUGCCCUUGACUUUGGGAUAACUUCAGGAAACUGGGGCUAAUACCGGAUAGGAGCUCCUGCUGCAUGGUGGGGGUUGGAAAGUUUCGGCGGUUGGGGAUGGACUCGCGGCUUAUCAGCUUGUUGGUGGGGUAGUGGCUUACCAAGGCUUUGACGGGUAGCCGGCCUGAGAGGGUGACCGGCCACAUUGGGACUGAGAUACGGCCCAGACUCCUACGGGAGGCAGCAGUGGGGAAUAUUGCACAAUGGGCGGAAGCCUGAUGCAGCAACGCCGCGUGCGGGAUGACGGCCUUCGGGUUGUAAACCGCUUUCGCCUGUGACGAAGCGUGAGUGACGGUAAUGGGGAAAGAAGCACCGGCUAACUACGU
Molecule: ribosomal RNA, 467 nt
Filed under: uncultured bacterium
Lineage: Bacteria
Description: partial 16S ribosomal RNA
Rfam family: Bacterial small subunit ribosomal RNA
Source: RNAcentral